This 774-nucleotide ribosomal RNA is filed under the name uncultured Neocallimastigales. RNAcentral describes it as "partial large subunit ribosomal RNA". It matches the Rfam family "Eukaryotic large subunit ribosomal RNA", at positions 22 to 644 of the family's 3401-position model. Lineage: Eukaryota; Fungi; Neocallimastigomycota; Neocallimastigomycetes; Neocallimastigales. The record is from RNAcentral.
CUAUACAUGACUCUGUGCAUAUCAAUAAGCGGAGGAAAAGAAACUAACAAGGAUUCCCUUAGUAACGGCGAGUGAAGCGGGAAGAGCUCAAAUUUGAAAUCUUCAAGGUUCUACCUUGACGAAUUGUAGUUUAUAGAAGUGUUUUCUGUUAGUAGAGUGGCAAAAGUUCUUUGGAAUAGGACAUCAUAGAGGGUGAGAAUCCCGUAUUUGGUCAUUCUUUCUAGCUUUGUGAUACACUUUCAACGAGUCGGAUUGUUUGGGAAUGCAGUCCAAAAUGGGUGGUAAAUUUCAUCUAAAGCUAAAUAUUGGCGAGAGACCGAUAGCGAACAAGUACCGUGAGGGAAAGAUGAAAAGAACUUUGAAAAGAGAGUUAAACAGUACGUGAAAUUGUCAAAAGGGAAGCGUUUGACACCAGUGUUGUUUUUCCGAAAAUCAAUUACGAAUGUUUUAUUUUUGAGGAGUUAUGACUUCAUCGGCUUGCUUCUCUCUUUACGAAACUUUCUUAAUGCACUUUUCGGUUAACAAGUCAACAUCAAUUUCUUUUGUUGUAAAAGGGUAUGAGGAAGGUGGCUUUCUUUUCGGAGAAAGUGUUUAUAGCCUUGUACCUCUGCAAUCGGGAGAUUGAGGUCUGCAGCGUAGAUCCUUCGGGGUUAGAUACAUUUGUGCUAAGUUAUAGCUUUUCAUAGACAACUUGUUGACUAUGAUUAGUCAUUGUAGCUUACUCGCUUAUGCUAUUUUACCUACGCUUAGGAUGUUGAUAGUCACAGCGUGUAC